This 425-nucleotide ribosomal RNA is filed under the name uncultured bacterium. RNAcentral describes it as "bacterial SSU rRNA". It matches the Rfam family "Bacterial small subunit ribosomal RNA", at positions 356 to 773 of the family's 1533-position model. The record is from RNAcentral.
GGGGAAUUUUGGACAAUGGGGGCAACCCUGAUCCAGCCAUGCCGCGUGAGUGAAGAAGGCCUUCGGGUUGUAAAGCUCUUUCGGCCGGGACGAAAUCGCACGGGCCAAUACCCUGUGUGGAUGACGGUACCGGAAUAAGAAGCACCGGCUAACUACGUGCCAGCAGCCGCGGUAAUACGUAGGGUGCGAGCGUUAAUCGGAAUUACUGGGCGUAAAGCGUGCGCAGGCGGUUUGAUAAGACAGGCGUGAAAUCCCCGGGCUUAACCUGGGAACUGCGCUUGUGACUGUCUCACUAGAGUACGGCAGAGGGGGGUGGAAUUCCACGUGUAGCAGUGAAAUGCGUAGAGAUGUGGAGGAACACCGAUGGCGAAGGCAGCCCCCUGGGCCGAUACUGACGCUCAUGCACGAAAGCGUGGGGAGCAAAC